CCUUUGACGUUAGCGGCGGACGGGUGAGUAACACGUGGGUAACCUACCUAUAAGACUGGGAUAACUUCGGGAAACCGGAGCUAAUACCGGAUAACAUUUGGAACCGCAUGGUUCUAAAGUGAAAGAUGGUUUUGCUAUCACUUAUAGAUGGACCCGCGCCGUAUUAGCUAGUUGGUAAGGUAACGGCUUACCAAGGCAACGAUACGUAGCCGACCUGAGAGGGUGAUCGGCCACACUGGAACUGAGACACGGUCCAG
This 257-nucleotide ribosomal RNA is filed under the name uncultured Staphylococcus sp. Its description in RNAcentral is "partial 16S ribosomal RNA". It matches the Rfam family "Bacterial small subunit ribosomal RNA", at positions 83 to 334 of the family's 1533-position model. Lineage: Bacteria; Bacillati; Bacillota; Bacilli; Caryophanales; Staphylococcaceae. The record is from RNAcentral.